Molecule: transfer RNA, 73 nt
Filed under: Brochothrix thermosphacta
Lineage: Bacteria; Bacillati; Bacillota; Bacilli; Caryophanales; Listeriaceae
Also listed under: 1 other name
Rfam family: tRNA
About the family: Transfer RNA (tRNA) molecules are approximately 80 nucleotides in length. Their secondary structure includes four short double-helical elements and three loops (D, anti-codon, and T loops).
Source: Rfam by way of RNAcentral
GCCGACUUAGCUCAGUUGGUAGAGCAACUGAUUUGUAAUCAGUAGGUCGCGGGUUCGACUCCUGCAGUCGGCA